Molecule: ribosomal RNA, 332 nt
Filed under: uncultured bacterium
Lineage: Bacteria
Description: bacterial SSU rRNA
Rfam family: Bacterial small subunit ribosomal RNA
Source: RNAcentral
CUGGUAGUCCACGCUGUAAACGAUGCUAACUCGUUUUUGGGUUUUCGGAUUCAGAGACUAAGCGAAAGUGAUAAGUUAGCCACCUGGGGAGUACGAACGCAAGUUUGAAACUCAAAGGAAUUGACGGGGGCCCGCACAAGCGGUGGAUUAUGUGGUUUAAUUCGAUGAUACGCGAGGAACCUUACCAAGGCUUAAAUGGGAAUUGAUCGGUUUAGAAAUAGACCUUCCUUCGGGCAAUUUUCAAGGUGCUGCAUGGUUGUCGUCAGCUCGUGCCGUGAGGUGUUAGGUUAAGUCCUGCAACGAGCGCAACCCCUGUUANCUAGUUGCUACCA